CUCUGAAGAGGACAGUAUAUCAGUUGCAGAGGUUGGCACAGAGAGCAAUGCCGGAACUGAAAAGGCAUGAGACGAGUACCCGCCAAGGAAAUUGUGAGCAAAAGUGACACAUCUUUCUUUUGGAUCAAGGGAGGCAGAACAGACAGGAAGCAAAGGUGUGUCCAGACAGAGCGGAAAUGCCUG
Long non-coding RNA from Talpa occidentalis (Iberian mole), 183 nucleotides. RefSeq lists it as uncharacterized. Lineage: Eukaryota; Metazoa; Chordata; Mammalia; Eulipotyphla; Talpidae. The record is from RefSeq and is a predicted model, not a curated record. The transcript has 3 exons.